UGAUUGGAAAGUGAUGCCAUUCACAUUGGACACGUUUAAAUUUGAGAUGCUAGUGGAACAACCAUGUAUAGACACCUACUCGGCAAUCCUGCAUAUGAUCUCAACAUCAGAAGAAAGAUGUGGGCUGAUGACACAGAACUGAGAAUAGCCAGCGUUGCCACUGGGAGUAACCAUCACAUAUGUGGCAAAAAAGGCCAUUGGCGCAGAUACAAUCACCCAGGCGGGAUGUGUAAAAUGGAAAAAGAAGGCAACCUAGAAGCAGAAUUCAACGUAUCAGAUACAGUAAUGAAGACAAUAAGAAAUUGGAUUGAUCCAGGUCUGGAGUUUUGCCACAGAGUGAAAUGGAACAACAAUAUGCAGGAGAAGUGAGGACACUGAAUUCUACUUGAAAAUUAUACAGAAACAAUUUCUUAGAAUGCUCACAAAAGACCUGAAAACAUGGGGAGGAAGCAGGGCAUUUACAGCAGGUCUUCUCUGACACUGUGCUGGUGGGCAGGGAGCCACCUCAUUACUACCAGGCACAGCUUAUAACUCAUGCAAAACAACAUGCUGCAAUGUUCUGAUGAAAUGCUCCUCUACAGUCGAGGCUCCCAGAAGGCAGAGAGCAUAUACAUUAACUCAUUCUGCUCAACACUUAGCUCAUGUCCAUGGAGAGAUGUUGAAUAUGAGCUCCUAUUAAAAAGAGGGAAUACAAUCAAUCAUUUGAGAAUGUCCAAAAAGAACUUUUCCUUUCCAUCAAGCCUUACAAAUUAUUCUAAGAUUGUUUCUGUAAAUACCAUGUAAUUGGGAGAGAUACACAGGGAACGUCAAUUGUGUCUGUAAUGUUUUACUGCUUAUGAUAAAAAGAUCUGAAACAAAUGUGACAAAAUACUAAGAUUUCAC
This 882-nucleotide non-coding RNA is filed under the name Pan troglodytes (chimpanzee). The record is from RNAcentral. Lineage: Eukaryota; Metazoa; Chordata; Mammalia; Primates; Hominidae.